GACGAACGCUGGCGGCGUGCCUAAUACAUGCAAGUUGAGCGAUGAAGCUUGGUGCUUGCUCCACUUUGAAGAGCAGCGAACGGGUGAGUAACGCGUGGGGAAUCUGCCUUUGAGCGGGGGACAACAUUUGGAAACGAAUGCUAAUACCGCAUAACAACUUUAAACAUAAGUUUUAAGUUUGAAAGAUGCAAUUGCAUCACUCAAAGAUGAUCCCGCCUUGGAUUAGCUAGUUGGUGAGGUAAAGGCUCACCAAGGCGAAGAUACAUAGCCCACCUGGGAGGGGUGACGGCCAAAAUGGGACUGGAGAACGGCCCAAAACUCCACGGGAGGCAGCAAGAGGGGAUCUUCGGGCAUGGACGGAAGUCCGGACGGGCAACGCCGGGGGGGUGGAGAAGGUUUUCGGAUUGUAAAAAUCUGUUGGUAGGGAAGAACGUAGGUGGGAGUGGAAAGCUCAUGAAGUGACGGUAACUAACCAGAAAGGGACGGCUAACUACGUG
Molecule: ribosomal RNA, 497 nt
Filed under: uncultured bacterium
Lineage: Bacteria
Description: partial 16S ribosomal RNA
Rfam family: Bacterial small subunit ribosomal RNA
Source: RNAcentral